CCCAACAUGCAUGCGUGUGUGUGUGUGCGUGGGGGGGGGUCAUGUAUCUCAUCUGAUGACAGAAGCUAAGCACAGGUGGGCCUGAUUAGUACUUUGAUAUGAGAACACUUAAGAAUACUAGGUAAUGUAAGCU
This 133-nucleotide ribosomal RNA is filed under the name Haplochromis burtoni (Burton's mouthbrooder). Lineage: Eukaryota; Metazoa; Chordata; Actinopteri; Cichliformes; Cichlidae. The record is from RNAcentral.